CUCCAGGUUCUGAGAAGAUGGCGAAGGUCUCAGAGCUUUACGAUGUCACUUGGGAAGAAAUGCGAGAUAAAAUGAGAAAAUGGAGAGAAGAAAACUCACGAAACAGUGAGCAAAUUGUGGAAGUUGGAGAGGAAUUAAUUAAUGAAUAUGCUUCUAAGCUUGGAGAUGAUAUUUGGAUCAUAUAUGAGCAAGUGAUGAUUGCAGCCCUAGACUAUGGUCGAGAUGACUUGGCAUUGUUUUGUCUUCAGGAGUUAAGAAGACAGUUCCCUGGCAGUCACAGAGUCAAGAGACUAACUGGCAUGAGAUUUGAAGCCAUGGAAAGAUAUGAUGAUGCUAUACAACUAGAUGAUAGAAUUUUACAAGAAGAUCCAACUAACACUGCUGCAAGAAAGCGUAAGAUUGCCAUUCGAAAAGCCCAGGGGAAAAAUGUGGAGGCCAUUCGGGAACUGAAUGAGUAUCUGGAACAAUUUGUUGGGGACCAAGAAGCUUGGCAUGAACUUGCAGAACUUUAUAUCAAUGAACAUGACUAUGCUAAAGCAGCCUUUUGUUUAGAGGAGCUAAUGAUGACUAAUCCACAUAACCACUUACACUGUCAGCAGUAUGCUGAAGUUAAAUAUACCCAAGGUGGACUUGAAAACCUCGAACUUUCAAGAAAGUAUUUUGCUCAGGCACUGAAACUGAACAACAGAAAUAUGAGAGCUUUGUUUGGGCUUUACAUAUUGCUUCUAAUCCAAAAGCAAGUGCAAAAACAAAAAAGGACAACAUGAAAUAUGCUAGUUGAGCAGCUAGUCAAAUAAACAGAGCUUAUCAGUUUGCAGGUCGAAGUAAGAAGGAAACCAAAUACUCUCUUAAGGCAGUGGAAGACAUGUUGGAAACACUGCAGAUCACCCAGUCUUAAGGUUUCAAACUCUUUCACAUUACAUUUCACAACUGCACAAUU
Molecule: non-coding RNA, 940 nt
Organism: Leptonychotes weddellii (Weddell seal)
Lineage: Eukaryota; Metazoa; Chordata; Mammalia; Carnivora; Phocidae
Source: RefSeq, a predicted model, not a curated record